This 484-nucleotide ribosomal RNA is filed under the name uncultured bacterium. RNAcentral's name for it is "partial 16S ribosomal RNA". It matches the Rfam family "Bacterial small subunit ribosomal RNA", at positions 28 to 507 of the family's 1533-position model. The record is from RNAcentral.
AUUGAACGCUGGCGGCAUGCCUUACACAUGCCAGUCGAACGGCAGCGCGGGCUUCGGCCUGGCGGCGAGUGGCGAACGGGUGAGUAAUACAUCGGAACGUGCCCUGUCGUGGGGGAUAGCUCGGCGAAAGCCGGAUUAAUACCGCAUACGACCUGAGGGUGAAAGCGGGGGAUCUUCGGACCUCGCGCUUUUUGGGCGGCCGAUGGCAGAUUAGCUAGGUGGGGGGGUAAAUGGCUACCAAGGCGACGAUCGGUAGCUGGUCUGAGAGGACGACCAGCCACACUGGAACUGAGACACGGCCCAGACUCCUACGGGAGGCAGCAGUGGGGAAUCUUGGACAAUGGGCGAAAGCCUGAUCCAGCAAUGCCGCGUGAGUGAUGAAGGCCUUCGGGUUGUAAAGCGCUGUUGGCGGGAACGAAAAAGAGUGUGCCUAUACCGCAGUUUGAUGACGGUACCCGCAGAAUAAGCACCGGCUAACUACGUG